Molecule: ribosomal RNA, 374 nt
Filed under: uncultured bacterium
Lineage: Bacteria
Description: bacterial SSU rRNA
Rfam family: Bacterial small subunit ribosomal RNA
Source: RNAcentral
ACGUAGGGUGCGAGCGUUGUCCGGAAUUACUGGGCGUAAAGAGCUCGUAGGUGGUUUGUCGCGUUGUCCGUGAAAUUUCACAACUCAAUUGUGAGCGUGCGGGCGAUACGGGCAGACUGGAGUACUGCAGGGGAGACUGGAAUUCCUGGUGUAGCGGUGGAAUGCGCAGAUAUCAGGAGGAACACCGGUGGCGAAGGCGGGUCUCUGGGCAGUAACUGACGCUGAGGAGCGAAAGCGUGGGGAGCGAACAGGAUUAGAUACCCUGGUAGUCCACGCCGUAAACGGUGGGUACUAGGUGUGGGUUUCCUUCCUUGGGAUCCGUGCCGUAGCUAACGCAUUAAGUACCCCGCCUGGGGAGUACGGCCGCAAGGCUA